GAUUAACGCUAGCGGCAGGCCUAAUACAUGCAAGUCGAACGGCAGCACGGGUAGUAAUACCUGGUGGCGAGUGGCGCACGGGUGAGUAACACGUAUGCAAUCUACCUUUAACUGGGGAAUAACCCUUCGAAAGAAGGGCUAAUACCGCAUAACACUGCGAUGGGGAUUCCCAAUGCAGUUAAACCUGAGGGGGUUAAAGAUGGGCAUGCGUCCGAUUAGUUAGUUGGCGAGGUAAUGGCNCACCAAGACUUCGAUCGUAGGGGGUCUGAGAGGAUG
RNAcentral lists this ribosomal RNA (276 nucleotides) under uncultured bacterium. RNAcentral describes it as "partial 16S ribosomal RNA". It matches the Rfam family "Bacterial small subunit ribosomal RNA", at positions 28 to 302 of the family's 1533-position model. The record is from RNAcentral.